GUAGGAGAGGAGUUGGCAAAUCCGCUUCUCAAUCUGAAGACGUGAUGCGGACCGAACUGAGAGUAGGGAAGCCCGUGAGCCAUGCGUCAAGAAAAGCCGCUAUUGUUUAUAUCAUACCCGUACCGUAAACCGACACAGGUGGAUGAGGAGAGAAUCCUAAGGCCGACGGGAGAAGCAUUGUUAAGGAACUCGGCAAAAUGACUCCGUAACUUCGGGAGAAGGAGUGCCAGUGAGAACUGGCCGCAGAGAAUUGGCCCAAGCAACUGUUUAGCAAAAACACAGGUCUAUGCAAAACCGAAAGGUGAAGUAUAUGGGCUGACGCCUGCCCGGUGCUGGAAGGUUAAGGGGAGAGGUUAGCGUAAGCGAAGCUUUGAACUUAAGCCCCAGUAAACGGCGGCCGUAACUAUAACGGUCCUAAGGUAGCGAAAUUCCUUGUCGGGUAAGUUCCGACCCGCACGAAAGGCGUAAUGAUUUGGGCACUGUCUCGACAAUGCACCCGGUGAAAUUGAAAUACCAGUGAAGAUGCUGGUUACCUGCGCCAGGACGGAAAGACCCCAUGGAGCUUUACUCCAGCUUGAUACUGGGAUUCGGUAUUGCAUGUACAGGAUAGGUGGGAGACUGAGAAGUAUUUACGCCAGUAGAUACAGAGUCGCUGUUGGGAUACCACCCUUGCAGUACUGGGUUUCUAACCAGCAGCCGUGACCCGGCUGGGGGACAAUGUCAGGUGGGGAGUUUGACUGGGGCGGUCGCCUCCGAAAGGGUAUCGGAGGCGCUCAAAGGUUCCCUCAGAAUGGUCGGAAACCAUUCAAAGAGUGCAAAGGCAGAAGGGAGCUUGACUGCGACACCGACGGGUGGAGCAGGUACGAAAGUAGGACUUAGUGAUCCGGUGGCAUAAAGUGGGAUUGCCAUCGCUCAACGGAUAAAAGCUACCCUGGGGAUAACAGGCUUAUCACUCCCAAGAGUUCACAUCGACGGAGUGGUUUGGCACCUCGAUGUCGGCUCAUCGCAUCCUGGGGCUGAAGUAGGUCCCAAGGGUUGGGCUGUUCGCCCAUUAAAGCGGUACGCGAGCUGGGUUCAGAACGUCGUGAGACAGUUCGGUCCCUAUCCGGCGUGGGCGUAGGAUAUUUGAGAGGAGCUGCCCUUAGUACGAGAGGACCGGGGUGGACUGGCCGCUGGUGUAUCUGUUGCACUGCCAAGUGCAUGGCAGAGUAGCCAAGCCGGGACGGGAUAAACGCUGAAGGCAUCUAAGCGUGAAGCCCCCCUCAAGAUGAGAUAUCCCAACGCAAGUUGUAAGACCCCUUGAAGACGACGAGGUAGAUAGGACAGAGGUGGAAGUGCAGUAAUGUAUGGAGCUGACUGUUACUAAUCGGUCGAGGGCAUAACCAA
RNAcentral lists this ribosomal RNA (1386 nucleotides) under Coprococcus sp. HPP0074. RNAcentral describes it as "bacterial LSU rRNA". It matches the Rfam family "Bacterial large subunit ribosomal RNA", at positions 1520 to 2925 of the family's 2925-position model. Lineage: Bacteria; Bacillati; Bacillota; Clostridia; Lachnospirales; Lachnospiraceae. The record is from RNAcentral.